Molecule: unclassified non-coding RNA, 346 nt
Filed under: soil metagenome
Description: partial contains 5.8S ribosomal RNA, internal transcribed spacer 2, and large subunit ribosomal RNA
Rfam family: 5.8S ribosomal RNA (bases 1-120)
Source: RNAcentral
GAUGAAGAACGUAGUGAAAUGCGAUACGUAAUGUGAAUUGCAGAAUUCAGUGAAUCAUCGAGUCUUUGAACGCACAUUGCGCCCCCUGGUAUUCCGGGGGGCAUGCCUGUCCGAGCGUCAUUGCUGCCCUCAAGCACGGCUUGUGUGUUGGGCCUCCGUCCUCCUCCCGGGGGACGGGCCCGAAAGGCAGCGGCGGCACCGCGUCCGGUCCUCGAGCGUAUGGGGCUUUGUCACCCGCUCUGUAGGCCCGGCCGGCGCCUGCCGAUCAACCCAAAUUUUUUAUCCAGGUUGACCUCGGAUCAGGUAGGGAUACCCGCUGAACUUAAGCAUAUCAAUAAGCGGAGGA